Molecule: ribosomal RNA, 492 nt
Filed under: uncultured bacterium
Lineage: Bacteria
Description: partial 16S ribosomal RNA
Rfam family: Bacterial small subunit ribosomal RNA
Source: RNAcentral
AGUGAACGCUGGCGGUAGGCCUAACACAUGCAAGUCGAACGGCAGCACAGUAAGAGCUUGCUCUUACGGGUGGCGAGUGGCGGACGGGUGAGGAAUACAUCGGAAUCUACUUUUUCGUGGGGGAUAACGUAGGGAAACUUACGCUAAUACCGCAAACGACCUACGGGUGAAAGCAGGGGAUCUUCGGACCUUGCGCGAUUGAAUGAGCCGAUGUCGGAUUAGCUAGUUGGCGGGGUAAAGGCCCACCAAGGCGACGAUCCGUAGCUGGUCUGAGAGGAUGAUCAGCCACACUGGAACUGAGACACGGUCCAGACUCCUACGGGAGGCGGCAGUGGGGAAUAUUGGACAAUGGGCGCAAGCCUGAUCCAGCCAUACCGCGUGGGUGAAGAAGGCCUUCGGGUUGUAAAGCCCUUUUGUUGGGAAAGAAAAGCAGCAGGUUAAUACCCCGCUGUUCUGACGGUACCCAAAGAAUAAGCACCGGCUAACUUCGUG